UACGUAGGGGGCGAGCGUUGUCCGGAUUCAUUGGGCGUAAAGAGCUCGUAGGCGGCUCGGUAAGUCGUUUGUGAAAUCUCCAGGCUCAACUUGGAGCGUGCAAGCGAUACUGCUGUGGCUUGAGUCCGGUAGGGGACCACGGAAUUCCUGGUGUAGCGGUGAAAUGCGCAGAUAUCAGGAGGAACACCGGUGGCGAAGGCGGUGGUCUGGGCCGGUACUGACGCUGAGGAGCGAAAGCGUGGGGAGCGAACAGG
Molecule: ribosomal RNA, 254 nt
Filed under: uncultured bacterium
Lineage: Bacteria
Description: partial 16S ribosomal RNA
Rfam family: Bacterial small subunit ribosomal RNA
Source: RNAcentral